AAUGAUCACUAGUUGGCAUAUCAUUUUAGGGUAUGGCCUUUAAAUAGAAAACUACAACCCAGGUAAGUGACAUAUGAUAAACAUAACUGUGACCUUGUGAAAGAAACUGGCUUUCAUUACAUUGUAUACAGCUUUACAUAUAGGUUAACAACUAUAUAUACAUAUCUACCCCUCCCCCUGCAUACCAAGUUAGGACAGCUGCACAAGGGGAGGAACAGCACAUUCAAACACACACUUCAAAACCAAAACACAUGUGAACACACUGCUUUGCUCAAGCGUUUUUCAUACUCACUCUCAGGGUCUACACACUCACACUCAGGUCACAAACAUAAACACUGAUCUCAGAAUCAGUUCAGUCACACAGAUAAUUCUGCACUGCAUGUUAUGACUGCCUGACAGCACAAGUUCAAGCUCUCGUUCUACAGCAGCCUCUGCUCUCCUGCUAGUUGUUAACUACAACUCUUCUGCUCUUGGGAUCCAUGAGGCUGAAAUAAGGCUGUCUAUGGGAAGAAGCACAUGAACAUCUGCAGAAAUCAAUUGAAACAAACACCUGCUAAGAAGAGAAGGUGUCCAGCUUCUGAAACAAGUGAUAGCUGAAAAUCCAAGAGUUGUACUUGUAGAACGAGGAUGAUAAUUCGCCUUGGACGUCUCACCCCUGGAUACUUCCGUCUAUUGCAGUUGCAGGUGUCUGGAGAGUUGGCAUCAGAGCCCAAGGACCGACUAGUAAACCAUAUGGCUUUUCUCUUAGCCCUAAUGGGCCUUGGGCUAUCCUAUUACAGCGUCCGGCAAAUGGUCCAGAAGUCGAGCAUAUCACAGUCUAAUGCAUAUCCGAGGGUCUGAACCUGUGACCUUGGCAAAAUCUAUGAAGCUUCACAUAAAUGGCUGAACAAUAGAUAUAGAGGGCAGGGAAAAUGUAAUAAACGAAGUAUAAGUAGAGAUUGCUAGUUAAAUGGGUUAAAAAAGACUAGGGAUGCUUUGAUAGCACGGUCUGUUCUACAUAUAGCCUGGUGUGCAAGAACAGACAGUCAAAGUGGUGGGAGAAAGAGUUGCAGUACCCAACUCUUGCAGCUUAAUAUAAAAUGUAAUCUAAUAACACUACUGUUUAAAUAAGAGGAAGAGUUUGAGCAGAGGCAACAUCUCUACUUCAGAAGAAUGCAUGGUGUUUUUUUAUGUGAAAGAUGGGAGCAUUCUACAAAUCUUUUACUUUGUAAACUGAAAACAAAUCCAUCUACUAGACCCAAACAUAGCAUUGGGGGUUUAUUUAUGAACUACCUCUUAAAGACUGCACAUGAAUGGAGAACAGGUCACUAGAAAAAAAAAACAUUUUAAUAGCAAU
Long non-coding RNA from Xenopus laevis (African clawed frog), 1336 nucleotides. RefSeq lists it as uncharacterized. The transcript is spliced from 5 exons. Lineage: Eukaryota; Metazoa; Chordata; Amphibia; Anura; Pipidae. The record is from RefSeq and is a predicted model, not a curated record.